UCUCGAAUCUGUCCAUUUAUCACUGGGAUC
This 30-nucleotide non-coding RNA is filed under the name Rattus norvegicus (Norway rat). Lineage: Eukaryota; Metazoa; Chordata; Mammalia; Rodentia; Muridae. The record is from RNAcentral.